AGUGAACGCUGGCGGUAGGCCUAACACAUGCAAGUCGAACGGCAGCACAGUAAGAGCUUGCUCUUACGGGUGGCGAGUGGCGGACGGGUGAGGAAUACAUCGGAAUCUACUUUUUCGUGGGGGAUAACGUAGGGAAACUUACGCUAAUACCGCAUACGACCUACGGGUGAAAGCAGGGGAUCUUCGGACCUUGCGCGAUUGAAUGAGUCGAUGUCGGAUUAGCUAGUUGGCGGGGUAAAGGCCCACCAAGGCGACGAUCCGUAGCUGGUCUGAGAGGAUGAUCAGCCACACUGGAACUGAGACACGGUCCAGACUCCUACGGGAGGCAGCAGUGGGGAAUAUUGGACAAUGGGCACAAGCCUGAUCCAGCCAUACCGCGUGGGUGAAGAAGGCCUUCGGGUUGUAAAGCCCUUUUGUUGUGAAAGAAAAGCAGCAGGUUAAUACCCCGCUGUUCUGACGGUACCCAAAGAAUAAGCACCGGCUAACUUCGUG
This 492-nucleotide ribosomal RNA is filed under the name uncultured bacterium. RNAcentral's name for it is "partial 16S ribosomal RNA". It matches the Rfam family "Bacterial small subunit ribosomal RNA", at positions 29 to 507 of the family's 1533-position model. The record is from RNAcentral.